ACGAUCAUACCAGCACUAAUGCACCGGAUCCCAUCAGAACUCCGCAGU
Molecule: ribosomal RNA, 48 nt
Filed under: Chenopodium striatiforme
Lineage: Eukaryota; Viridiplantae; Streptophyta; Magnoliopsida; Caryophyllales; Amaranthaceae
Source: RNAcentral